CAGGAGCUGCUGAACUCUUCUGCCCAGCCUUGGAGAGAAAGGCCACUGCUGCUGUUUCUGGAGAAGGCAUGGAAGGAUGGGCAGCUCCAGCUCCUGCUGAGUCCUCAGUGGUGCUCGGAGUCCUCCCCUGCUGCCUUGGUCAACCACAGACCCCAGGACUCUUGGUGUGAGGGCUUCUGGCAUGGCUCAGGAGAAUUAGGACAGUUGAAUGAUGAAGAAGACCACGUUGCACCCCAUCAUCAGCUUCCUGCUUCUCCACAGAGCUUAUGUGCAAUCCUUGGCACUUCCACUGAGGUCACAGUGAGCCGUGGCAACUUGUCCAUGACCAGCAAGGAAAACAUGGGCUUUUUGAAUUCCUCAAGGAGCAUCCAGGAUGGAAUGAGAUGAGAUUAGGUCUGGUCUUUUUGCCCUACUUCCUCCAAGCAGGAUCUGAGGUAUCAUGAGAAAAACAGACCUCGUGUUAUUUUGAGACCCAUUGCCUCUGAGUACUUCCAAAAACACUCUGAAAAACAUGAACAAAUGUAUGUAUAAAUGCUAGUUCACACAUAUAAUCCACACUGCAGGAGCUGUCUGUCUCCUCCUGGAGAGCUGCAGAUCUGCAGGACACAGAGCUGUGGUGGCCCCAGGACCACAUGGAGAUGGAGGUGUGCUGCCAGCAGUGCAGGAGCUGGUGGCUGCUAGGACAGCUCCAUGUCCCCAUGGGCGGCUUGCAACAGGCUCUGAGCACUGGAAGCAGAAGAUAACU
RNAcentral lists this long non-coding RNA (745 nucleotides) under Anas platyrhynchos platyrhynchos (common mallard). RNAcentral's name for it is "lncRNA (ENSAPLG00000025698.1)". Lineage: Eukaryota; Metazoa; Chordata; Aves; Anseriformes; Anatidae. The record is from RNAcentral.